This 584-nucleotide long non-coding RNA is filed under the name Mus pahari (shrew mouse). RNAcentral's name for it is "lncRNA (MGP_PahariEiJ_G0004754.1)". The record is from RNAcentral. Lineage: Eukaryota; Metazoa; Chordata; Mammalia; Rodentia; Muridae.
GCAGAAGUCGCCACCUACUGGGUCACCAGGGUCCAAGGCUUGUACUCAACCUGAGGCCAGGCUGUCUGUGCACAGCUCACCACCCCACAAGUUCCCCUAACGCCCAUUCCUUUUUUUUGCCCUCCAUUGAUUUAUAGUUUUAUAGUUUCAAACAGCCAUGGGGAUGAAGGACGACACUUCCUCCCACUACUAAGAAAACCCAACUAAACAAGAAUUUGUACCCCAACAAGAAUCAGCACACAACACAGAGAGUCUAGGAGACUAUGAAGUCCAGGCUCAGAAGACAGGAAAGAGUGAGGGUUACAGGAAGCUGAUAGAUUGAAAGGACCUUGAAAAGCCACAGGCAGUGAUGAAUGGUGAGAAGGAAGUCAUCUUCUGAAAGCCGGGUGUUCACCUUCACAGAAAACAGACAUUCCAGAUCUUAAUCUUGACCUUCUGUCCUCCACAAAUGUGAGAAGCCAAAAUUCUCUUGUUCAAAUUACCAAUGAUUUCUCAGAGCGUUUGUAUUAGAUAACUUUUUGUAUGAUUGCACAUGCUUUUGAUACUUGUAGUCUUCAAGCAUUAAAGACAAGAAUUUACAAUCA